This 214-nucleotide long non-coding RNA is filed under the name Ananas comosus (pineapple). RNAcentral describes it as "long non-coding RNA (ACOM_LNC007163)". The record is from RNAcentral. Lineage: Eukaryota; Viridiplantae; Streptophyta; Magnoliopsida; Poales; Bromeliaceae.
UAGGGCUUGCUUUGGAGCAAACCCUAGAGGUAAGCCUCAACCCCUUUCAUGGUAUCUUGGGUUUUUAUGAGGUUUGGUUGGUUUUAAUGGUUCAAAUAGAACCUCUUGAGUUUAGGGAACAUGGAUUUAGCUCACAUUGAAGCUAUAAUCCAUAGCUUCUCAUGGAUCCUAACCCUAGGGUUAGAUUUUGGAGAUUUUGCAAAUAUUAGGGUUU